RNAcentral lists this ribosomal RNA (298 nucleotides) under Anomaloglossus stepheni (Stephen's rocket frog). RNAcentral describes it as "partial large subunit ribosomal RNA". Lineage: Eukaryota; Metazoa; Chordata; Amphibia; Anura; Aromobatidae. The record is from RNAcentral.
ACUAGUAUGAAUGGCCCCACGAAAGCUAUACUGUCUCCUUUUUCUAAUCAGUUAAACUAAUCUCCCCGUGAAGAAGCGGGGAUAAACAUAUAAGACGAGAAGACCCUAUGGAGCUUUAAAUAACUGAAACAUUUGCAUCCCACUUUAAAUUUCCGAAAUCUACACUUAAUUCCACAUCUUGUUUCUAGUUUUAGGUUGGGGUGACCACGGAGAAAAACCAAACCUCCAUGCCGAAAGAAACAUCUCUAAACAAAAAACUACAAUUUUAUGUAUUAACACAUUAACCUUAAUUGACCCA